Molecule: ribosomal RNA, 493 nt
Filed under: uncultured bacterium
Lineage: Bacteria
Description: bacterial SSU rRNA
Rfam family: Bacterial small subunit ribosomal RNA
Source: RNAcentral
GAUGAACGCUAGCGGCAGGCUUAACACAUGCAAGUCGAGGGGUAUGCCGAUUUAUCGGCAGAGACCGGCGCACGGGUGCGUAACGCGUAUGCAAUCUACCUUUCACAGAGGGAUAGCCCAGAGAAAUUUGGAUUAAUACCUCAUAGUAUAGCAGUUUCGCAUGAAACCACUAUUAAAGUUCCAACGGUGAAAGAUGAGCAUGCGUCCCAUUAGCUAGAUGGUAAGGUAACGGCUUACCAUGGCUACGAUGGGUAGGGGUCCUGAGAGGGAGAUCCCCCACACUGGUACUGAGACACGGACCAGACUCCUACGGGAGGCAGCAGUGAGGAAUAUUGGUCAAUGGACGCAAGUCUGACCAGCCAUGCCGCGUGUGUGAAGAAGGUCUUCGGAUUGUAAAGCACUUUAAGUUGGGAGGAAGGGUAGUAACCUAAUACGUUGGCUACUUUGACCGUUACGACAGAAUAAGCACCGGCUAACUUCGUGCCAGCAGCCG